CGGCGGACGGGUGAGUAACACGUGGAUAACCUACCUAUAAGACUGGGAUAACUUCGGGAAACCGGAGCUAAUACCGGAUAAUAUUUUGAACCGCAUGGUUCAAAAGUGAAAGACGGUCUUGCUGUCACUUAUAGAUGGAUCCGCGCUGCAUUAGCUAGUUGGUAAGGUAACGGCUUACCAAGGCAACGAUGCAUAGCCGACCUGAGAGGGUGAUCGGCCACACUGGAACUGAGACACGGUCCAGACUCCUACGGGAGGCAGCAGUAGGGAAUCUUCCGCAAUGGGCGAAAGCCUGACGGAGCAACGCCGCGUGAGUGAUGAAGGUCUUCGGAUCGUAAAACUCUGUUAUUAGGGAAGAACAUAUGUGUAAGUAACUGUGCACAUCUUGACGGUACCUAAUCAGAAAGCCACGGCUAACUACGUGCCAGCAGCCGCGGUAAUACGUAGGUGGCAAGCGUUAUCCGGAAUUAUUGGGCGUAAAGCGCGCGUAGGCGGUUUUUUAAGUCUGAUGUGAAAGCCCACGGCUCAACCGUGGAGGGUCAUUGGAAACUGGAAAACUUGAGUGCAGAAGAGGAAAGUGGAAUUCCAUGUGUAGCGGUGAAAUGCGCAGAGAUAUGGAGGAACACCAGUGGCGAAGGCGACUUUCUGGUCUGUAACUGACGCUGAUGUGCGAAAGCGUGGGGAUCAAACAGGAUUAGAUACCCUGGUAGUCCACGCCGUAAACGAUGAGUGCUAAGUGUUAGGGGGUUUCCGCCCCUUAGUGCUGCAGCUAACGCAUUAAGCACUCCGCCUGGGGAGUACGACCGCAAGGUUGAAACUCAAAGGAAUUGACGGGGACCCGCACAAGCGGUGGAGCAUGUGGUUUAAUUCGAAGCAACGCGAAGAACCUUACCAAAUCUUGACAUCCUUUGACAACUCUAGAGAUAGAGCYUUCCCCUUCGGGGGACAAAGUGACAGGUGGUGCAUGGUUGUCGUCAGCUCGUGUCGUGAGAUGUUGGGUUAAGUCCCGCAACGAGCGCAACCCUUAAGCUUAGUUGCCAUCAUUAAGUUGGGCACUCUAAGUUGACUGCCGGUGACAAACCGGAGGAAGGUGGGGAUGACGUCAAAUCAUCAUGCCCCUUAUGAUUUGGGCUACACACGUGCUACAAUGGACAAUACAAAGGGCAGCGAAACCGCGAGGUCAAGCAAAUCCCAUAAAGUUGUUCUCAGUUCGGAUUGUAGUCUGCAACUCGACUACAUGAAGCUGGAAUCGCUAGUAAUCGUAGAUCAGCAUGCUACGGUGAAUACGUUCC
This 1292-nucleotide ribosomal RNA is filed under the name Staphylococcus sp. CAWF10. RNAcentral's name for it is "bacterial SSU rRNA". It matches the Rfam family "Bacterial small subunit ribosomal RNA", at positions 96 to 1374 of the family's 1533-position model. RNAcentral also lists the same sequence under 7 other names. The record is from RNAcentral. Lineage: Bacteria; Bacillati; Bacillota; Bacilli; Caryophanales; Staphylococcaceae.